RNAcentral lists this unclassified non-coding RNA (273 nucleotides) under Hevea brasiliensis (rubber tree). The record is from RNAcentral. Lineage: Eukaryota; Viridiplantae; Streptophyta; Magnoliopsida; Malpighiales; Euphorbiaceae.
GUUUGGACCUUGUGGCCCUGUCCCAGGUCCUUGGUUCUAGAAAAAGGAACCAGUGGCCAUCUAUAGUUUUAGGCAUUGAGUUUGUCGGCUGUAAUGAAGAUCAUGAGUUAGAAGUCCAUAGAUUUUGUGCCCUUGAACUAGUUUUUAAGCUUAGAUCCAUCCCUCUCAUAACUUGACAAGUUUUUUCUCACAUUGGAAGAAUUUCAUGGUAAUCUUAGCCACUUUUAUCUUGGAAAUUAAUUUCUGUUGCAAGAAAAGUUUGUUAUGCAGUGG